CCCCCCUCCCUGCCUGUCCCUCCGUCCGUCCGGCUGCCUCAGCCUCCUGCCCUGCUGCCCGCCGGCUCGCCCAGCCGCACCUCUCCCCCCCGCGGGGGGGGGGGAGCCGGCAAAGCUCCGCUCCGCUCCGCGGCCGCGCCCGGCGGCCGCCCCCAGGGCGCGGGCGGGCGGGGACGAGCUGCGGGGAGGGGGGGGGGGAGACCACGGCUUCAGCGCAUCGCGGAGCGGCCGCGGGUGCCUGCGGGGGGGAGGGCGCGGGGCGCGGGUGCGGAUGCUCGGGAGGCUGCGGGUUUUCAGCUGUGGUCAAAGCUUUGUGACCAUGCGACAAGACAAAAGAAUCACCUCCAUCAGCUGCUAAAGUGGUUAUCUGCUCAGCACCAUCCUACAAGCACAAUAGAUGUGAAGUCCCUGGAACAAUUUGUCAUGAUCAUCAUGCUUGGGUAAACACUGUUGAUGCUGCUGCACAGAGAAGUUUUCAAAUAAUGCAUAUUGAAUGCUAGGAACAAUUUACUGCUGGUAAAUGAAGCAAAAAUUGUCUUUUUCUUGGAUUAUUAUUAGUAUUAUUUUAACUGCACUUACAACAAAUUGUACCACCAACAAGUUUUAGAGGGUAUGUUUCAAUUUUACAGCUGGAACUAAACACAGCUUAGAUUGUGGAACUGGCCUAGUAUUGGGCUGCCAUUAUUCUCAUUGCUUUUAAAUGUAUUAAAUGCAUACAUGCCUUUUUUUUUUCUCUCUCUUUUUUUUUUUUUUUUAACGUAUAUAUUUGAAAUCUACUAUUCACCUGGGGAUAAAAGAAAACAGCAACAGAGUAGCAGCAAAGAUAUGCUGAUGUGCAAUAACCCAGCUUAAAAAUAGGCACUAUCUGUCAGCAUUCAAGGCAUUCUCAGAAUAAACUGUUCACAGCUCCUCCUUCUUCUGACA
This 924-nucleotide long non-coding RNA is filed under the name Anas platyrhynchos platyrhynchos (common mallard). RNAcentral describes it as "lncRNA (ENSAPLG00000027651.1)". Lineage: Eukaryota; Metazoa; Chordata; Aves; Anseriformes; Anatidae. The record is from RNAcentral.